This is a long non-coding RNA of Leucoraja erinaceus (little skate), 1733 nucleotides long. RefSeq lists it as uncharacterized. Lineage: Eukaryota; Metazoa; Chordata; Chondrichthyes; Rajiformes; Rajidae. The transcript has 4 exons. The record is from RefSeq and is a predicted model, not a curated record.
UAACGUGAGUGCAGGAGGAUAAGGGGUGAUCUUAUAGAGAUGUACAAGAUCGUGAGAGGAAUAGAUUGGGUAGAUGCACAAUUCUUUUGCCCGGAGUAGGGGAAUCGAGGACCAGAGAACAUAGGUUCAAGGUGAAACUUUAAUAGGAAUCUGAGGGGUAACUUUUUCACACAAAGGGUGGUGGGUGUAUGGAACGAGCUGCCAGAGCAGGUCGUUGAGGCUGGGACUAUCCCAUCAUUUAAGAAAUAAUUAGACAGGUACAUGGGUAGGACAGGUUUGGAGGGAUAUGGACCAAAUGCAGGCAAGUGGGACUAGUGCGGCUGGGACAUGUUGGCCAGUAUGGGCGAGUUGGGCCGAAGGGCCUGUUUCCACACUGUAUCACCCUAUGACUCUGGGUUACUCCAGCUUUUUGUGUCAGUGUAAACCAGCAUCUGAGGCUCCUUCCGACGUGGAAUUGUUGAUGGAUCCUCCUUGUGUCUUGAAAAUAGAUUCCAUGCAAGAAGAAGGCGCAUUGGUAUCCGGAUGGACUUCAGAACGGAACAGGGAAGACCGUUACUCAGUCCUCCACUCAGGAGCAGUGUCUUGCGUUUAAGAACAAUGAAACUCUGGAGACUACACAGCGGUGGGGCCAUCCUCUUUCCCCAGCAGGAGGCUUCUCCCAACAUGUCAUACGCUAUGAACUCCCCAUUGAUCUUUGGGUCCUCAGGGGCAUGUCACCAACGCAGUAUCUGAGCACCUACUGCAGGUGUGAUGAUGGUUUAAGUCUGUUGUAUAAAACAGCCUUCGAUCAACAGGACAAGGAUAAGGAUAAAUAUGUUAACUUGAAGGAAAUGGAACAUGCAUUAUUGCUCAUCUACAGGUUAAAUGAAAUACACACUGAAAGGUUGUACAACUUGAUGAAAGUCAAUGAAGAUUUCAAAGUGGACCUGAAAUUAUUCAUAGCUCUUGCGGGUCUGAUGUCCAGAAUCCUAUUCAAAGAGCCAACGCAAGUAUAAAGUCCCAUUAGAAUUCUCUGGAGUUUAGAAGGAUGAGAGUGGUUCUCAUUGAAACAUAUAAGAUUAUUAAGGGCUUGGACACGCUAGAGGCAGGAAACAUGUUCCCGAUGUUGGGGGAAUCCAGAACCAGGGGCCACAGUUUAAGAAUAAGGAGUAAGCCAUUUAGAACGGAGACGAGGAAACACUUUUACGCACAGAGAGUGGUGAGUCUGUGGAAUUCUCUGCCUCAGAGGGCGGUGGAGGCCGGUUCUCUGGAUGCUUUCAAGAGAGAGCUAGAUAGGGCUCUUAAAAAUAGCAGUCAGGGGAUAUGGGGGAGAAGGCAGGAACGGGGUACUGAUUGGGAAUGAUCAGCCAUGAUCACAUUGAAUGACGGUGCUGGCUCGUAAGGCCAAAUGGCCUACUCCUGCACCUAUUGUCUAUUAUCUAUUGUCUAUUGUCAUUGCUAUCCGGGCGGCAUGGUGGCGCAGCGGUAGAGUUACUGCCUCACAGCGUCAGAGACCCGGGUUCGAUCCCGACCACUGCCGCUGUCUGUACGGGAGUUUGUACGUUCUCCUCGUGACCAGCGUUGGUUUUCUCCGGGAUCGGUGAAAGUGUAAACUUGUUCCCAGUGUGUGGGAUAGCAUUAGUGUGUGGGGGUCACUGGUCGGUGCUGGCUCGAUGGGCCGAUGGGCCUGUUUCACGCUGUAUCUCUAAAUUAAACUACUCAAUACUUCUUAGACUGGUCCACCGAAACAACAU